AACUACGUGCCAGCAGCCGCGCUAAUACGUAGGGAGCGAGCGUUGUCCGGAUUUCCUGGGUGUAAAGGGCGUGUAGGCGGAGCUGCAAGUCAGAAGUGAAAUCCCCGGGCUCAACCCGGGAACUGCUUUUGAAACUGUAGCCCUUGAGUAUCGGAGAGGCAGGCGGAAUUCCUAGUGUAGCGGUGAAAUGCGUAGAUAUUAGGAGGAACACCAGUGGCGAAGGCGGCCUGCUGGACGACAACUGACGCUGAGGCGCGAAAGCGUGGGGAGCAAACAG
RNAcentral lists this ribosomal RNA (277 nucleotides) under uncultured bacterium. RNAcentral's name for it is "partial 16S ribosomal RNA". It matches the Rfam family "Bacterial small subunit ribosomal RNA", at positions 499 to 775 of the family's 1533-position model. The record is from RNAcentral.